AUGCAGGUGAGGCUUUGGAUAGUCACAAAGAAAAAAAACAAACUCAAUAGAGAGGAGCAGGAAGUAGCGUCAAUGUCUAUCCUCCUUUCUUCUCUCUUUUCUUUCCUUUUUCUUUUGAGUUAGUGAAUAAGUUUACUAGGGUGUUUUGAAUAAGAAGCCCCUUGUGGUGAUUUCUUCUAAGCUAUGCUCAAUUUGAAGUUCUCCAUCACCUCUUUUGGAUUAA
RNAcentral lists this long non-coding RNA (223 nucleotides) under Prunus persica (peach). RNAcentral's name for it is "long non-coding RNA (PPER_LNC008241)". Lineage: Eukaryota; Viridiplantae; Streptophyta; Magnoliopsida; Rosales; Rosaceae. The record is from RNAcentral.